RNAcentral lists this ribosomal RNA (459 nucleotides) under uncultured bacterium. RNAcentral's name for it is "SSU rRNA". It matches the Rfam family "Bacterial small subunit ribosomal RNA", at positions 26 to 518 of the family's 1533-position model. The record is from RNAcentral.
AGAAUCAACGCUGGCGGCGUGCCUAACACAUGCAAGUCGCACGAGAAAGUGGGGCAAUCCACGAGUAAAGUGGCGCACGGGUGAGUAACACGUGAAUGAUCUACCUCCGAGUGGGGAAUAACUGAGAGAAAUCUUAGCUAAUACCGCAUAAUACCCACGGGUCAAAGCAGCAAUGCGCUUGGAGAGGAGUUCGCGGCCGAUUAGCUAGUUGGCGGGGUAAUGGCCCACCAAGGCGAUGAUCGGUAUCCGGCCUGAGAGGGCGCACGGACACACUGGAACUGAAACACGGUCCAGACUCCUACGGGAGGCAGCAGUGGGGAAUUUUGCGCAAUGGGGGAAACCCUGACGCAGCAACGCCGCGUGGAGGAUGAAAUCCCUUGGGAUGUAAACUCCUUUCGAUAGGGAAGAUAAUGACGGUACCUAUAGAAGAAGCCCGGCUAACUUCGUGCCAGCAGCCGC